This 2256-nucleotide ribosomal RNA is filed under the name Triticum aestivum (bread wheat). RNAcentral's name for it is "partial small subunit ribosomal RNA". Lineage: Eukaryota; Viridiplantae; Streptophyta; Magnoliopsida; Poales; Poaceae. The record is from RNAcentral.
AUGGAUUGCCUAUCAAGUAUGACAAAAAGUGACCUGGAGCGCAUGCUAUUUGAUGAAACCGCAGAGCCGAAGGCCCUGCCAUUAUCACUUUUGGCAGAAAUCACAAAUGGUUUCUCUGAUAAGCAGGAAAUUGGCGAAGGUGGUUUUGCAGUUGUCUACCAGGGAAUGCUCAAUGGUGGGAAGGUAGCUGUGAAGAGGCUGUCCAAGACGCAUUUGUAUGAGAAGGAGUUCCAGCGAGAAGUUGAAUGUCUCAUGGUGGCGAAGCACAAAAAUGUAGUACGGUUCCUGGGGUAUUGUGCUGACACACAAGGGAGUGCGGAAAGGUACAACGGAAAAUUCGUCAUGGCGGAUGUACAACGAAGGUUGCUCUGCUUUGAGUAUCUUCCCAAUGGGAGUCUUGAUAAGUAUAUCACUGAUACAUCUCGCAAACUUCCGUGGAGAAACUGCUAUAAAAUUAUUCAAGGAAUUUGUCAGGGGCUGCAUUAUCUUCAUGUGAAAAAAAUUGUCCACUUAGAUCUAAAGCCAGCAAAUAUAUUGUUGGAUGACAAUUUGGUGCCGAAAAUUGCUGAUUUCGGCCUCUCAAGGUGUUUUGAAGAUAUACAAAGCCGGGUUUUUACUCAGAAUAUAGGUGGAACAUUGGGAUAUUUGGCACCAGAAUUUGGUAAUGGUGUAAUCACAUACAAGUUUGAUGUCUAUAGUCUUGGUGCAAUAAUCAUAGAGAUACUCACUGGAGAGAAGGGGUAUCACACUGUCGACACUGUAGUUCAAAUUUGGAGCGAGAAGUUGGAGAAAUCACACAGCGACAUACAGCUGCAACAAGUACGAGUAUGUACUGAGAUAGGAAUAGAGUGCAUUGACUCCAACCCUGCGAAGAGACCGGAUACACAGAAUAUAAUCGAUAGACUCAAUGAAACAGGCAGUAUGGUCGGGUAUAUGGAAACAAGCAUGAUUACUUCACAACUGGUAGAAAUUUCUCUGGAUGAACUGCAUCAAGAUAGGCCUAAGACGCCAGAAGAGACAAGCUCCGAGGAUUCAUCAUUUUACCGGUCAUCAAAGUUACUGCUGCAUCAAACGCAACCAGGAGCCUGGAAUCUUGACUCCGACUUGGAGGCAGGGAAAACGCUGGCAAGUCAAAAUUGGACGGACAACAUUGUUUGCAUCCAGAAGGUCCGUCCGGUGGUGCACAACAGCUACACGCCGCAACGCGUGCCGAUCGGUCCUUACCAUCGCAGUUGUUCGUCUACACGGAUUGAAAAAGAGAAGCUGCGAUAUGUGGGCUUCAUGCAGACCGUUUCCGAGACUCGAGGGACAGGUGGCCUUAGUGGUCUUGGGGAGGGACUGGAGCUGCGAGCGAGGGAUUGGUACGUGGACGGGGUCGCCGACAUGACGCCGGAAGAGUUGGCGAGGAUGCUGCUGCAUGAUGGGUGUUACCUGCUCGGUCGGCUGGGGAACUAUCCGGGCCACAGUCUACCUCAAGCCUGCAACUUUGACAACACCGAGUUUCGGGACGUCCUUUAUCUGAUUGAUAACCAGCUACCUUUCUUUGUUCUCGAGGAAAUCCACGAGCGCGUCAUGUCCAGUGACUGUUCUCUCAGCGACUCCUUGGUAGAGUAUGUCCGGCGUCUGCUGGCGGCACAGCUCUACAUCAGCCCAGGGCAGAAGAGACUGAUGAAGCAGCCGUGCCACCUGCUGCACCUGGUGCACACAUACUUCCAUCCAAACCAAGUAGGUUGCGGAUGGUCUGAUGGUUUCCAGGCGCUCACUGGUCGGUGGCGCCGGGCGACCGAGUACCGUUUGGACGCCAACGUGAAGUUCAUGCCUCGGGAGUUCUCGGCGGACGUGACUUCUAUCCUGGACGUGCGCCUUGAAGGUUGCACGCUGUUGAUCCCUCGGCUGCACGUCAACAACGACACGUGGACGCUCCUACAAAACCUGAUGACGCUGGAGGAGCAAAUGCCCAAGAGGCCCGUCACGGCGUACUGCAUCUUCAUGUCGCAGCUGGCGUGUACGCCGGAGGACGUACGGCUCCUGGUUGAUGCAAAGAUCGUGCAGCACUUUCUGGCCAGCGACCAGAUUGCCGCCCGAGGGUUUGUCGGCCUCCUCCGAGAGGUCGUCAUGGACGUCGACAACAUCGACAGGAACUAUCUCAGCCCCAUCUGGCACCAACUGGAGAUGCGUGCGGAGCCUUAUGAGCCAGGUUUUCUUGCUCGAUUUCGAUUUUUUUGCAGAAAGGGCCGGAAGGACCGGUUUAUCUAA